RNAcentral lists this ribosomal RNA (464 nucleotides) under uncultured bacterium. RNAcentral's name for it is "bacterial SSU rRNA". It matches the Rfam family "Bacterial small subunit ribosomal RNA", at positions 338 to 795 of the family's 1533-position model. The record is from RNAcentral.
CCUANGGGUGGCUGCAGUCGAGAAUUUUUCACAAUGGGCGAAAGCCUGAUGGAGCGACGCCGCGUGGGGGAUGAAGGGCUUCGGCCCGUAAACCCCUGUCAUUUGCGAACAAACCUUUCCGUUUAACAUGCGGGGAGCUGAUUGUAGCGAAAGAGGAAGGGACGGCUAACUCUGUGCCAGCAGCCGCGGUAAUACAGAGGUCCCAAGCGUUGUUCGGAUUCACUGGGCGUAAAGGGUGCGUAGGUGGUCGGGUAAGUCUGGUGUGAAAUCUCCGAGCUUAACUCGGAAAUGGCAUUGGAUACUAUUCGGCUGGAGGGUUGGAGGGGGGACUGGAAUUCUUGGUGUAGCAGUGAAAUGCGUAGAUAUCAAGAGGAACACCAGUGGCGAAGGCGAGUCCCUGGACAACUCCUGACACUGAGGCACGAAAGCUAGGGGAGCAAACAGGAUUAGAUACCCCUNUANUC